Canis lupus familiaris (dog) is the source of this 716-nucleotide long non-coding RNA. RefSeq lists it as uncharacterized. The transcript has 3 exons. NCBI's taxonomy places the organism in Eukaryota, Metazoa, Chordata, Mammalia, Carnivora, Canidae. The record is from RefSeq and is a predicted model, not a curated record.
AAAAGCCCAAAUGCUUUCAAGAAGACAAAAUCACCCCACCAUAGGAAAGAAGGAGACUGAGGUGGCUUUGGGAGUCAGUAUUUCUAUUAGAUAGAACUCCUAGCUGAAGAUGUGAAGAUAGCUGCUAAGAACACUUGCUGAGCCCUGCUUUCUUUCCCAAGUGGAGAACAAUGUUUCCUAUUAAAGAAUAUCUUCCAAGAACAUCCCCAAAGGUCUCAUGAAUGCCAAUUCCUGGGGGACAUGAAGAUGCACACGAGUGAGAAAUCCAGUUUCUUCAGCCGCUUCAGCUCGUUGGCGUUUAAAGCAACAUCCCUGGCAGCAGCUCAUCUGGAACAUCCUGGCCCGCUCCCCUUUGCGUGAUAGUGAGCACCCUUUACUGCAGAGAGCGAUGAAGAGAGAGUCGGAUGGACAGAUGGACAGGGAGAGGGGAGUCCCGCAGACGGUACCGAUGAAUAUGGAUUUGCAGCAUCUGCGGGGGGAGGCGGGAGCCAUGGCAAUCAAGUCCAAUGCUGCAGCGGCUCGGAUGGACCGACAGGAACUCCCCCUAGGAAUCCGAGUGGGCUCUUUCUUGUGUGAUGUUUUGAAGCAUGUCAGCAUUCCUGGGCACUGUCAGCCUCCUCCAAAUGACCCGAGAGGGGUUGUGAAUAGCAAGUUCUCACCGCCUUGGGCUGUGCGGAGGGAAAUGCUGGGAAUACUGUUUUAAAGGCUUCCUCUCG